AUAUAUAUUCGAAAUGCUAGCCAAAAGCAGAGAUGAGAAAGAAAACCAGUGGCCACGGGAAUCAAUUGCGAGUUGUGCCGGUGUUGGUGUGCAGCAACGACAGCUCGGGUCGCGUUGCCGGUGGUGCCUAGAGCUACGGUGCAAACCACACACGACGUGGGUGGCGCUGAACAGCCGGGGCAGAAGGCAAAGUGGGCGACAUUUGCUUGAAACUGUGAUGAAGAUUAGUGUGCAAAUGGCAGAGCCUUCUUGAAGAAGAAGAACAGUUGGGUUGAUCUCUGUGUAAAGAGGGGGAGCCGAAGUGGCUGUGCAACAAAGAAAAAGGAAGAGGGCUUUGAGCAAAGAUUCAACUAGAUCUUGAAGUCCAAAGAUCAAUAAAUCUGAAACAGUGAAGGGAAUGAAAUUAGUUGAGUAAAAAUCAAAACCCAUUUAUAUAUAUGUAUAUAUAAAGAGCUCACUCACAGAUCUGAAGCAGUGUAGAAGAAAUAAAAGAAAUGGGCAGAGUAAGCACUGUGGAAGGAAGAAUUAAACCAAAGCUCAUCAAAAUGAAGAGCUGGCUUGGGUCCAAGAACAACUAGGACGGGUUGGCAGCAGCGUGAGCACUAGUAUUCCGAGAGCCAAAUCAGUCCGAGAAAUUUCUGGCUAGACCGACUAACGACGCGUUGAGAGGGCGGCGUGGUCGGCGUCAACAGUGACCUCACGAAGGCCGACGACAAUGGCUUGUGUGGCCUUUGGUCCAGCAACUACGGAGCUCCAAUUGAAGAAGAGGACAUCUGGGUUUGUCUUGGAGAGAGAGAGUCAGCCGCAUGGAUUUCAAAAAAAAAAAGAAAAAGAAAAGAAAGCUGGUGGUGUCGGCAGCAAGAGAGCGCCGCUGUGCAACAAAGAAGAAAAGAGAAGGUGUGCAGAAUAGGGUUUUCGAGCCUUUCUUUAAAUAGAAAAAUAGGGGAGCAUUAUCCUUGAAUAUACUGUUAGAGUAUUCUAAAUAUAUGUAUACCGUGUUUGCCAAACAACGAAGAAAAAAAAACGUCCGUGAGUCUUGUGCAAGCAAAAAAAAAAAAAAAA
Molecule: non-coding RNA, 1062 nt
Organism: Camellia sinensis
Lineage: Eukaryota; Viridiplantae; Streptophyta; Magnoliopsida; Ericales; Theaceae
Source: RefSeq, a predicted model, not a curated record